AUGUCCAAGCUGCUCUCGCUGCACCGCUCGCUCUCGGAGCAGGAGGGCUACCUCAACUCCGCCGACCAGGCGUUCCUCCUCCGCCUUGCCUGCGCCGAGCUGGUGUUGUCGCUCGAUGCCGCGGCAGCCGCCGUCGUCGCGCCUCGGCCUGCGCUGCGGCAUCGACUUCGCCGGGGUGUUGCAUCAUCAAGGCCGGUGCCCGCGACGCGCGCCUCGACUUGCUGGCGGCCAAGGAGCUCAAGGUCAAGGCCAAGAAGAUGGAGCGCCUCGUGGGCGCCACAUCCAAGCUGUGCUCCGAGAUGGAGGCGCUCGACGAGCUGGAGUCCGUCGAGCGGAAGCUCAUCGUCCGCGGCUGGACGCCCUGCGAGGGAGCGGGGCACGGGCGACUCGAGCUUCUCAUCGGGCAGCUCGAGGGACCGGGCACGGGGCGAGGGAGCGGGGCAUAGGACGGCUUGA
This 456-nucleotide ribosomal RNA is filed under the name Triticum aestivum (bread wheat). RNAcentral describes it as "partial small subunit ribosomal RNA". Lineage: Eukaryota; Viridiplantae; Streptophyta; Magnoliopsida; Poales; Poaceae. The record is from RNAcentral.